This 1398-nucleotide long non-coding RNA is filed under the name Equus asinus (donkey). RNAcentral describes it as "lncRNA (ENSEASG00005023594.1)". The record is from RNAcentral. Lineage: Eukaryota; Metazoa; Chordata; Mammalia; Perissodactyla; Equidae.
UCCAUAAGAACCACAAAUGCAACCCAACAAGAAUUUUGCCAGCCAUAUUGUUGCAUCACUCUACUUACCUUUACAUCCUUCCCUGACCACUGGCCAAGAUCGUUCACCGUUUUCCCAACAGCUGCAGAAUAGUCCAUUGCAUGGCUAUGGAGUCGUACCCCACCCGUCCUUCGGGCCCCCGUCCUGCUUUAUUUUUCUCCAUUGCCCUCAUCCACACCUGGUAUGUUACCUGUGUUUUUUUCUAUUGUCUGUAUUUCGCCCCGACAGCUAUCCCCCCACCAGAAUGUAAGCUCCACAAAAGAAGAGCCCUCUUCGGCUUGUUCAUUGCCCGGUACAUGUUCCACUCCUGCAAAUCCUAGUUUUCCCAAGGCUGCUGGAAGUUUUAGUGAAUGAAGAAAGAAGCACAAUGCCCGGCCGGCUGGAGGAGGGAGGGCCAUGGAGUUUGGGAACCCAGCUAUCUGGGUCUAAACCCUGGCCUGCCAGUGGUCUGCCAGCUCAGAGACCUCUCUGACCCUCAGUUUCCUCAUCCUUUGUAGAUCAUGUGUGCAGAGCCCUUGACUGAGGGUCAGGAUCCAAAGGAAAACCAAGAAAGCUGGUGAGGGCACAGGUGGCAGGAGUUUGGGGCAGCGGCAGGUGGUUCUGGCUCCAGCUUGCAUCUCACAAGGGCCCUGAGAACCAGAAGACUGAGUAGAGGCAAGGGGAGGCUGCACGGGCCUAGUGAAGUGGGCAGGCUGGGAAGGAGCAGAUGCCUCUGGUCAUGGCCUAUACCAGGGCCCCUCCCCAACUGACCAGAUGACCUGGAGGCCCAAAGCCUGUCCAGGCCUGCCCAGGAGGGGACAGUGGAAUGGGAAGCCCAGCUGGCCAGAAGGCAGAGGAGCCUACGUUGUGGGCAAAGAGGCAGCACUCAGAGAAUUCAGAGAGUUCUGGAGCAAGAGUCAUUGAGCCUGUCCCAGCGAUGUCCAUUUCUGCCCAGGGGCCUCUGGCCAGAGUAGGUCUUGGCACCUCGCCAGCCCCUCCUCAUGGAGGGGAGACUUUCAGAUGUCUCUCCACAGGGACUCUCACUUCCUGCUCCCUGCAAGGUUGGCAUGGCUGACCCUGUUUCACAAACCAGGAGGCUGAGACCCAGGGGCAGGCGCAAAAGCAGCUGCCACGAAGCAGCAUGAAAUGGCCAAGCAGCUCCUUCCAGCCUCUUCCAUGUUCCGCCUGCUGUGGGGACCCACAUCCUACCAGAGCCCUUGGGACCAGCCCAUGCGGGGCGACCUGCCCCUCCCGCCCUUUGCCACUGUUCGUCUUCAAAAUGUAAAGUUAACUGAUCAAUUUCAGAGUCACUGUACAAAAUCUGUGUUCACAAGAACACAACAUAAAAGACACAAUAUAAAAAGCUCAGUGAUACCUCCA